RNAcentral lists this non-coding RNA (29 nucleotides) under Mus musculus (house mouse). The record is from RNAcentral. Lineage: Eukaryota; Metazoa; Chordata; Mammalia; Rodentia; Muridae.
UCCUCUCAGAUCUGAUCACGACUGCCUCA